Molecule: transfer RNA, 74 nt
Filed under: Liparidae sp. YYS-2017
Lineage: Eukaryota; Metazoa; Chordata; Actinopteri; Perciformes; Liparidae
Also listed under: 2 other names
Description: tRNA-Leu
Rfam family: tRNA
About the family: Transfer RNA (tRNA) molecules are approximately 80 nucleotides in length.
Source: RNAcentral
GUCAAGGUGGCAGAGCUCGGUAAUUGUAAAAGAUCUAAGCUCUUUCAACAGAGGUUCAACCCCUCUCCUUAACA